This 416-nucleotide unclassified non-coding RNA is filed under the name uncultured Sebacina. RNAcentral's name for it is "sequence contains ITS2". The stretch from base 1 to 154 matches the Rfam family "5.8S ribosomal RNA". The record is from RNAcentral. Lineage: Eukaryota; Fungi; Basidiomycota; Agaricomycetes; Sebacinales; Sebacinaceae.
AACUUUCAGCAAUGGAUCACUUGGCUCUCGCAUCGAUGAAGAACGCAGCGAAAUGCGAUAAGUAAUGUGAAUUGCAGAAUUCAGUGAAUUAUCGAAUCUUUGAACGCACCUUGCACCCUUUGGUAUUCCAAAGGGUAUGCUCGUUUGAGUGUCAUUAAUACUCUCACACUCUCUAAUUAGUUUUAGGGAGCGGUGGACUUGGGUGUUGCCUGGUAGUUUACUGUCAGGCUCAUCUCAAAUGGAUUAGUGCAAAGUCCUAGUUAAACAUAACAGCGUGACAAGUAACCCCCUUAUGCUGUUUUCUGUGUAAUUAGGGUGCUCUGUGCUUUUUAUUGUCUUAGGACAAUAUUUAGGAACUUGACCUCAAAUCGAGUAGGAUUACCCGCUGAACUUAAGCAUAUCAAUAAGCGGAGGCU